CUUAGCAGGUUGUGUCAGUCAGAGCUUCUACUCUAGGCGUUUUUUUAUGGAUGUCGGUGCAAGAGAGGCUUCAGUUCGCCUCCUUGCUGGGCUCUGCACUGUCCUGUCUAUUAUUCUGUUGCAGCUGAGCGGUGUGGACUCUUUGGAUGAGAGAGAAGUAGUCCUCGUAUGGGCUGAGUGGACUAGGCGCGUCUCCUGGGUGUGGAGACGAGGGUCUGGAGCGUCCCUGUCUGGCGGGAGACUUGUGAGGGGACUUAGACCUGGAGCGAUGGUUUUUAGACUGUGGAACAGUAGUGUAUAACCUUUUGAUAUGAUGAAGGCCACAUCUCAAAGCAUUACACACCUGCAUUCUGGAGACCAUGUUGAAGAGCUGAUCCGAAUCCUGAUCAGUCAUACCAGAAGGUGCUUGUUUUCCUGGCAACAGGUUUAACGUCGCCCGCUGAUCAUCAAAUCGCCGGUUUUGGGUGUUAGAAAUGAGUUUAAAAAAAUUCUCGAUAUCUUGAUCUGUUUAGAAGGUGUAUAAAAGCAUGCACAAGUAAAGAAACUUCACUGAUUGGAUUGCUUUUUAAGG
Molecule: long non-coding RNA, 571 nt
Organism: Megalobrama amblycephala (Wuchang bream)
Lineage: Eukaryota; Metazoa; Chordata; Actinopteri; Cypriniformes; Xenocyprididae
Exons: 3
Source: RefSeq, a predicted model, not a curated record